CGUAUGUCGCAAGCGUUAUCCGGAUUAUUGGGCGUAAAGCGCGUCUAGGUGGUUGGUAAGUCUGAUGUGAAAUGCGGGCUCAACUCCGUAUUGCGUUGGAAACUGCCUAACUAGAGUAUCGGAGAGGUGGGCGGAACUACAAGUGUAGAGGUGAAAUUCGUAGAUAUUUGUAGGAAUGCCGAUAGAGAAGUCAGCUCACUGGACGAAUACUGACACUGAAGCGCGAAAGCAUGGGGAGCAAACAGGAUU
This 249-nucleotide ribosomal RNA is filed under the name uncultured bacterium. Its description in RNAcentral is "partial 16S ribosomal RNA". It matches the Rfam family "Bacterial small subunit ribosomal RNA", at positions 526 to 779 of the family's 1533-position model. The record is from RNAcentral.